This 653-nucleotide long non-coding RNA is filed under the name Monodelphis domestica (gray short-tailed opossum). RNAcentral's name for it is "lncRNA (ENSMODG00000034261.2)". The record is from RNAcentral. Lineage: Eukaryota; Metazoa; Chordata; Mammalia; Didelphimorphia; Didelphidae.
AGGUAAAAAAUAAUAGUUAGCACAUAGGUGGCCAAAUCGCCUGAAUAUGGAAUCUUAGUAACCUGCAGAAUACCUCCUCCUGUCAAAGAGUAUUCAAAGAACAAGAAGACUCUGGAUUCAAUUCUCAGCUCUGCCAUUCACCCCUUAUGAAUUAGGAUGUAUGGAGGGUUCAGGGAGGACUAGUAUCUCUGAUUUCUUUCUCUGGAUGUGGAUAGCGCUCUUUUUCAGAAGUCCUUUGGAAUUGCCUUGGAUCAUUGCACUGCUGUACAUUUGAGCUGCAAUUUGGAAUAAUUAGCACUUCCAGCCUAACAUCUGGAGGACCUUACUACUACCUAUAAGAUAUUCUGCAAUUUAGGAUCCAAAGCACUGGCAAAAAAAAAAAUCUCUGGUGAGGAUUUAUCUUCCCUUUUAGGUCGUGAUUGAUGGAAUAUUCUAAGGUUCAAUGAAUGCAUUUAUAACUGUGGUUACAUCUUUUGAGAAAUCUUAUAUGAUUUUGACAUAUGCUUAGGAAGCACCUUAUUGAAAAAGAGCCUUUAGGGUGGCAUUUGAUCAAGUGCUUUUUAUAGCCAAGAAACAAUAAGUAUUCUUUACCCUUUUUGGAAAAUGAGGAGAGGUAUACACAUAUUGCCAACUAGGAUUUUGAAGAACGGGUU